This is a non-coding RNA of Potamilus streckersoni, 68 nucleotides long. The record is from the annotation of a GenBank genome assembly. NCBI's taxonomy places the organism in Eukaryota, Metazoa, Mollusca, Bivalvia, Unionida, Unionidae.
GGUGGCCUUGUGGUUAGAGCAUCCGCCUUGGAUGUGGGAGGUCGUGGGUUCGAUCCCCAGUAUAGUCA